RNAcentral lists this unclassified non-coding RNA (455 nucleotides) under Hevea brasiliensis (rubber tree). The record is from RNAcentral. Lineage: Eukaryota; Viridiplantae; Streptophyta; Magnoliopsida; Malpighiales; Euphorbiaceae.
CAAAUCAUCUAGAAGAUUGAAGUAUAAAUGCCUCCAUCUUCUGUUAAACACUAAAGGACCCACUACGACCCAAAACCCCACCACAAAUCCAGGUGCAAUGCUCACAUAGAAAUAGAACCAAUAAAAUGAUUUAGGGCCUUUAUCAUCUUCUCCUCUUUCUGUCCCAAUGGGAUGUGUAGCACCAUCAACACUGCAGUUCUUGGUGAGUGGAGGCCCACAAAGUUUGUUGCCACUGAAACUAGAUGGAUCAAAGCUUUGCAAUUGAGUGCUUGUAGGAAUGAUUCCUGAUAACUUGUUGUUGGAUAGGUUCAAGUAACUCAAAAAUGUCAAGCUUGACAUACUUGGCGGAAUUUCUCCAACAAGUUGAUUUUGAGAAAAAUCAAGAGAUUCUAGUUUUUGCAUAUUUCCUAUUUCCUCUGGAAUUCUUCCACUCAAAAGAUUAUGUGACAAAUUCA